Long non-coding RNA from Rosa chinensis, 1728 nucleotides. RefSeq lists it as uncharacterized. The transcript is spliced from 9 exons. NCBI's taxonomy places the organism in Eukaryota, Viridiplantae, Streptophyta, Magnoliopsida, Rosales, Rosaceae. The record is from RefSeq and is a predicted model, not a curated record.
AGCAAUGAAAUUACAAAAAAUCACACUUACAAUGAUUUUGAUCGAUAGCAAUCUUUAAUUUGCGGUGCACAACACACUCUCUCUCGCUGCCCUAUCUCUUCAUCUCUCAAGUUAUGAAGAGAGCAGCAAUCUUUCAAUGGUUUUCCGUCUUGUAGAAAAUCGAAUGUGGUCUUCUAUUUGAGGUCGUUUUUGUAAGAGUUCGGCUUCAUCUCCAUAAACUAUGGGUAGACUUUAAUACUCGUAUGGUAUCAUUGGAAUGAAUCUCAGAUCUGCCCAAAAGGUGGUUUUUGUAAGAGUUCGGCUUCAUCGAUUGUAAACUAUGGCGAGAAUUUCAUCCCCAUAUAAAAUCUUUGUAAUGAAUCUCAGAUCCGCCCCAAAGGUGUUUGGUUUGAUGAUGAAACCUCUUAUUAGAUUAUUGCUCCCUCAUAAACCAAUGACCAGCACAACCAGCAUUAUGUCAGACUCACCCUCUGCACUAAAAAAUAUAUUGUUGUUGAUGCAAUUCAUGUUGAUAGAAAGAUCUUUGAACAGUUACCGGUGUUAAUCCUUCUACUACUUUUACAAGGGUACACUUUCCGAGUUUCCCAUGGGAAGGUAGUGGCUGUGAAGCAACUUUCAGUAGCAUCUCACCAAGGGAAGAGUCAAUUUGCUGCAGAAAUUGCUACCAUAUCUAGGUGCAACAUCGCAAUCUACUGAAAUUAUUCUGCCAGUUGCUGACACUUACAUUGGAGAUAGGUCAACCACCACUCCAAGCAAUUAGACCUUCUUGUGAAGAAAAGCUCAUUUCUUUACUAGUUUUUCGGUGUUGUUCAUCACUAUUGGCUUCUUCCAUGUUGGUUAUCCAAGAUCUUCUGGUAUACUGGUAUCUGACCGCCCAUAUAUUCUGUUCAGAUACAUACAUAUUUCAGUUCCAGGCAAGCAGUACAGGAUAUUUGCAAACUCUGUAAUAAUGGAACCAGUGAGCAACCUCUUGGUAUAUUACCUCAUCAAAUCCGUGGUUCCCUUGGACAGUUUUCGGAGAUGACACUUGUGGGCCACUCCUCAGACAGUUUUGCACGACUUGCUGCAGCAUUAAACUGGGGCUUUAUAAUAUAACAAAGGAGGAGUAGGAUAAAGGCCUCUGAAGAAUUAUUAUUCUCUGUGGACAUGGCAGCUUGGAGACUCUCCUCCUUACUCUCUCACUCUCUCUCUGCUGGGUCUGCUUCUAAGCUUCUCUCUCAAGGUGCAGGCAAAUGGUAUGGCAGCAUACUUUGUGACAUUGACUACAUAUCUUGGCCUUUGGUGUGGCAGAAUAUUACUUGCAUGACAUACUUUCUCCACCAAAUGGUAUGGCAGAAUAUUACUUGCAUGACAUACUUUCUCCACCAAAUGGUAUGGCAGAAUAUUACUUGACAGUUUCUUCUGGAUAUCAGACGUAUAUAAGUCAUCCAUGGAGGACAAGAGGAAAUUGCAGAUACCAUGCCUAGAAUUAAGGCUGCCAAGAAUUGUUCUUUUCAGAGAAUUGAAUUUGUAUAUUAAUUUUAAUUUUUUUUUAAUAUGAAAUAUUGCAGUCACCAUUGCUAGAUGGUGUGUUUUCUGGUGAUGGGGCCCACAGUUUGAAACUCACCAAAAAAAUGAUAGUGCCUAUUUGAGUCUUUGUCACGCCAGCAAUGGCAACGCUUCAAAUUUUGGUGUCUAAGAUGGUGGCAAUUGCCAUUACACACCAAUCAUAGUUGUCUUUUACUUCAA